GCGACCCAGGUCAGCGGACUACCGCUGGUUUAGCAUCAUAUACGGGGGAGAGAACACACACA
RNAcentral lists this ribosomal RNA (62 nucleotides) under Nageia nagi. RNAcentral's name for it is "partial 28S ribosomal RNA". Lineage: Eukaryota; Viridiplantae; Streptophyta; Pinopsida; Araucariales; Podocarpaceae. The record is from RNAcentral.